RNAcentral lists this transfer RNA (85 nucleotides) under Streptoalloteichus hindustanus. It matches the Rfam family "tRNA". Rfam says of the family: Transfer RNA (tRNA) molecules are approximately 80 nucleotides in length. The record is from Rfam by way of RNAcentral. Lineage: Bacteria; Bacillati; Actinomycetota; Actinomycetes; Pseudonocardiales; Pseudonocardiaceae.
GCCUCUGUGGCGGAACGGCAGACGCACGCGGCUCAAACCCGCGCGCCCGUGGACGGGCAUGCAGGUUCGACUCCUGCCAGAGGCA